CACGUAGUUAGCCGGUGCUUCUUUACCCAUUACCGUCACUCACGCUUCGUCACAGGCGAAAGCGGUUUACAACCCGAAGGCCGUCAUCCCGCACGCGGCGUUGCUGCAUCAGGCUUCCGCCCAUUGUGCAAUAUUCCCCACUGCUGCCUCCCGUAGGAGUCUGGGCCGUGUCUCAGUCCCAAUGUGGCCGGUCACCCUCUCAGGCCGGCUACCCGUCAAAGCCUUGGUAAGCCACUACCCCACCAACAAGCUGAUAAGCCGCGAGUCCAUCCCCAACCGCCGAAACUUUCCAACCCCCACCAUGCAGCAGGAGCUCCUAUCCGGUAUUAGCCCCCAGUUUCCUGAAGUUAUCCCAAAGUCAAGGGCAGGUUACUCACGUGUUACUCACCCGUUCGCCACUCGAGCACCCCACAAAAGCAGGGCCUUUCCGUUCGACUUGCAUGUGUUAAGCACGCCGCCAGCGUUCGUCCUGUAGCCACGGAUCGAAACUACU
This 493-nucleotide ribosomal RNA is filed under the name uncultured Propionibacterium sp. RNAcentral describes it as "partial 16S ribosomal RNA". The record is from RNAcentral. Lineage: Bacteria; Bacillati; Actinomycetota; Actinomycetes; Propionibacteriales; Propionibacteriaceae.